Cyanistes caeruleus (blue tit) is the source of this 933-nucleotide long non-coding RNA. Lineage: Eukaryota; Metazoa; Chordata; Aves; Passeriformes; Paridae. The record is from Ensembl.
GCCCAGGAAAGUAAGGCACUCAUGUCCUCUGGAGACCGUGGUUCAGCUCUCCAGUCAAAAUCCUGGGCUUUGAUCUGGGAUUAGAUCUGUGUGUAUAGAUCUGUAUAUAUAUAGCAAUUGCUUAUUCAUGGCAGAAUGCUUUCUUGAAGUUCCUGCAAACCUGGAAACAGGUUUUUGAAUCUCCUUUGAUAAUCCUGUGUGGAAGCUGUCAGGCGUGGGGCACUCCAGCAUGUUUAGAGCUCCUACACAUUUCCAAAUUGAGAAGUGCGAGAGAGAGUCAUCUUAGCAAGAGAAAAGCUCCCUCCUGUGGAAGAGAUGAACCUCUGCUGUGACAAGGAGCAGCCAUAAGGACAUUACACCGUGAUUUUAAAUUAGCAGGGAAAGGGGUUACAAGCACGGUGGGACUUUGCAAAUACUGGAAUCCAAAACCCUGUCCUGUUAUUUUUUUUCUCAAAGUAAAUUUUUCAUAUUUUGUAUGGCUUAUAUCUAUAACUGUAUGUCAAUUAUAACUGUUGUCUGUGAGUAAAACUGGAUUGUUUAAAUAAUAUGUGGCCACAGUGAACUCUAUAGUGUUAAAGGGAUCUAAAGCAGCUGACAUUUUAAUAAUAUAAUAUAAUAUAUAUAUAUGAUAUAUAAAGAUUUUGCUUUCUGUAGCUCUUUGCUGACAAACCUUAGUAUUUUGGAAAUUUGUGUGAAUUCGAGUUUGUAGAGCUUACUUUUAAAAAACUUUUACUUUUUUGCUUUUUUACUUUUACUUUUUUUGUUUUCCUUUUUUUUUAAAAAGUCUGAUAAUCUGUAUACCUUGAAGAUCUGUAUUAAAAUGUUUCUGAAUCUUGCUCUGAUUGGUGUUCCUUGAUAGAAAGCUCUGCUGAGCUCAAAGCCCCAUGUAACUUGGAAAAUAAAGCUGCACAGAAAUUAUAAAGAUGAAAUUGU